CCUACGGGUGGCAGCAGUGGGGAAUAUUGCACAAUGGGCGAAAGCCUGAUGCAGCAACGCCGCGUGAAGGAAGAAGGGUUUCGGCUCGUAAACUUCUAUCAACAGGGACGAAAGAAAUGACGGUACCUGCAUAAGAAGCCACGGCUAACUACGAGCCAGCAGCCGCGGCAAUACGGAGGGGGCAAGCGUUAUCCGGAAUUAAUGGGUGUAAAGGGUGCGUAGGGGGGAUGGUAAGCCAGAUGUGAAAGCCUUGGGCUUAACCCGAGGAUUGCAUUUGGAACUAGCAAGCUAGAGUACAGUAGAGGAAAGCGGAAUUCCUAGUGUAGCGGUGAAAUGCUUAGAUAUUAGGAAGAACUCCAGUGGCGAAGGCGGCUUUCUGGACUGAAACUGACGCUGAGGCACGAAAGCGUGGGGAGCGAACAGGAUUAGAUACCCCAGUAGUC
RNAcentral lists this ribosomal RNA (443 nucleotides) under uncultured bacterium. RNAcentral describes it as "partial 16S ribosomal RNA". It matches the Rfam family "Bacterial small subunit ribosomal RNA", at positions 338 to 795 of the family's 1533-position model. The record is from RNAcentral.